Cuculus canorus (common cuckoo) is the source of this 2708-nucleotide long non-coding RNA. RefSeq lists it as uncharacterized. The transcript is spliced from 9 exons. The record is from RefSeq and is a predicted model, not a curated record. NCBI's taxonomy places the organism in Eukaryota, Metazoa, Chordata, Aves, Cuculiformes, Cuculidae.
GUGAUUCUGUGGUCUGCUCUUGCAGGUCUCUACUGACAGAAGAAUGUUUCAGAAUGGGUUUGUUCUUUGCAAAACAACAGGAGGGCAAAGCCGGGCGGCCCCCAAGCCUGCAGAGACCGUGCCCCGCGGCGAGGCCACCCCUCCGCUCAGUUGCAGUCGAUCAUCCAACUGCUCUGCCCUGGUAGAGCAAUCGGCGCAGGCACCGGUGAGGUGAUGGCAGAAGCUGGGGAAGCUGAAAUGGAGCUGCUGCGGUUUUCCAGCGCAGAGGUGCCAAGAGUAAAGCAGUCAGCUCACCUCCGGAGCCGUGCACUUCACGGAGCUCCACAGCCCCUCGGAAAUGGAAGCUCGGAGAAACUGUCUCUGUGAUCUUUAAUGGAUUUUUAAAGAUGACAAGAAAGGAAAUGGGAAACUAAAGGCAUGGAAGACAUAAAUUCCCUAAAGGUGCAUUCUGAAGUAAAUCAGAGCAACUGAAAAAGUGAACUCUGGGAGCCCUGGGAUAUCUCCCAGGUUUUUCCGCCGGACACUUACGGUUUGUCGGGUCCCUGAACACUCCUGCUCUGGGCAUGCUUUGACACAAUAUGUUGGUAUCAUUGCUACUGUCCCUCCUGGCUCCUCUCCCUGUGGCACCAUCCGACCUCACAUCCCCGCCAGGCUGGGGACGCCCCCUGCCCUCCCAGCGCGCUCCAGCACCAGAGCUGACGGAGCACCCAUCAUCGUAGCAGGGCCUUAGGCUGAAACGCUGGAGGAACUACCCCGUCAGAGCACUUCAGCGCCUUCGGCUCUUCUGGAUGCUCAGCCUCACUAAAAAGAAUCUGUUUUUAAUCUUGACCUCUUACCCCCUAUUUGUCUGCAAUCUGUUGGUAAUCAAGCUGAUUAACACUGAUUCUGGAGAUCCAGGCUAGCUUUGGAAAACCUUAAUUCCCAUCUUUUAUAUUGUUUAUGUGCAACAUAUGCAGUACAGGGGAAAAAAACCCCCUCCUGAUGUAGAGUGAAAAGCUGAGCCUUAAUAAAACUGUUGGCAAGAACUGUGGAGGGAGGUAUUCCGAUCCUAUGACACCGGAGCAGCUCCUUCAGCCCGCUCCGUUUGGGAAGCGUUGUUCUGGCUGCUUCUCUGGUGUGGAUGGGUCCAUGGAAUAUCGCAUUUUCCCAGUCAGUCACAAUUUUACCCAAAACCCGUAAAUGACAACAAUCAGAUAUGAGAAAAAUAACCCCUUUCUGUAUUUUCCAGCAGUGUGGAUCGUUGGAACUUCUUUCAAGUGUGAGCUAAAGCAUGUAAGGAAGGUGAUGUCCUCAAAGCCAUCAGCAUUAUCAGCCUCAUUCUGGAGCCUGGAAGUCAAUCGCAAGCAGGUUUGGGGGUUAUUAGCUCUCCAGCACCAGAGCCCUAUCGAUUAAUGAGCAUAUCUGGAGACCUAUACGGGAGGGAGAAGCGCGAGGGAUGCGAUCACGUACUACCUGAUGCUGCUCAUGGGGAAUGGCAAUUACCAUAGAGAGAACUCAGGAUGUCGUCCUUAAGACUGAUGUCAAGAGAUUUGAUAUCUGCAGAGCCAACACCACUUUUCAGACCCACCAUCAGCUGAAUUACCUGGGUAACACUACUCUUCACCAUGGUGAGAUGUGACAGCAGAGCAUGGCAGGAUACGCUUUGUGUUUCGAAGGACAGAGUUGCUGCAUCUUUAGCCAUUCUGGGACUUUGCCAUCCCUGGCUGUUUCCAGGAUGAAGCCGUUCACGAAAGGCAAACCAUAUCUCAAAUGCAGCCACCAAAGGCACAGAAAGCCAUCAUCGAAGCAUACCACGUCCUCCCUCAGCGCAGGAAUUCAGCAGCAGAAUGAGAAAACUGGAUUCCUGGAGCAUACCUGCAGAUCCAGAAGUAAUAUGGCUGUUUCUAAACCAACAUAAAGCGUCACACACAGACUUGAUGGCUUUCCAUCUCCAGAUAGACAUAACUUACGUGGCCAGUCACUAAAGGAAUUUGUUCUUUAGCAAAGUGAGACCAGAAGUCAAGAAUGUGACAUGGUGUCGCACGCUGUAAAACAAAAUGCGCCUGAUCCAAAGGCAAAGUUUGCUCUUUUCCACGCACCGGAGCACCUAAAGGCAGCAGGACGGAGUGACUCGGGUCAUGAAUGUGCAGUUUGGAGCUUUUCUUGUUUGAAGCAGUAAUUGCGCCGCCCAACACUCGCUAAGAAGCUGCUGUUUGCAAGGCAAAUAUUUUGCAUCUAGUCAUUACUGGGUUUGUUACAGGCUGUGGACGCGUAAUAAAAAAUGACUACAGUAAUAUCUCGAUGAUAGUCCCUGCACUGAUCAACUGCAAAUGAUCUGAUUAACAGUCAGCUGCUGAUUCCCAGUUUAAUUAAUCCUGAUGGGCUAUUGAUGCGCUGCAACUGUUUGUCCUAAUAAUGAGUUUUGAAAUUAGACUGCGACAAGCCACUUAGACAGCUGCCAAGGAAAAUAAUCAUUUAGGAGGGCGAGCAAUGGAGACAACAGAGGAGGAAUGGCUGCGAUUUGACAGAAAAUUCACAUGGCUGUGUCACAUGUGCUUUAUUUUUACAUUUGGAGCACAUUAGCCGUACCAGCGGUGGUGUCCCUGGCAGCUGGCUCCGUACUGGAACGGCGAGAAAUGUGUUGUGUGAGUCUACGUGGCACAUUCUGAGGAGCAGCCAAGCCUGAGACUCCUGCUGCGACCCGAGAGAUGAAGGUCUCCAGCACUGGU